CCCAGUGUAGCUCAACGGUGGAGCGCACGGCUGUAGCCCGUGAGGAUGCCGGUUCGAGUCCGGCCGCUGGGA
RNAcentral lists this transfer RNA (72 nucleotides) under archaeon. RNAcentral's name for it is "tRNA-Tyr". It matches the Rfam family "tRNA". From Rfam's summary of the family: Transfer RNA (tRNA) molecules are approximately 80 nucleotides in length. The record is from RNAcentral.